AACUGUCGAUGGAACACUCCUCCUCCCAGUUCCAUCGCGGGAUCGGCAACCCUCCUCCUCCCAGUUGCCGGUCAGGAUCGAAAGCCCGGCGCACCUCCUCCCGCGCCGGGUUUUCUCU
Sinorhizobium meliloti 1021 is the source of this 118-nucleotide small RNA. It matches the Rfam family "Alphaproteobacterial ar14". From Rfam's summary of the family: Smr14C2 was renamed NfeR1 (Nodule Formation Efficiency RNA) highly expressed in salt stress and during the symbiotic interaction on legume roots. The record is from Rfam. Lineage: Bacteria; Pseudomonadati; Pseudomonadota; Alphaproteobacteria; Hyphomicrobiales; Rhizobiaceae.